CUGCAGUGAUGACUUUCUUAGGACACCUUUGGAUGUAAAUAAUGAAAAUACUAUUGAAUUCUGAGCAGC
RNAcentral lists this small nucleolar RNA (69 nucleotides) under Naja naja (Indian cobra). RNAcentral describes it as "Small nucleolar RNA SNORD58 (ENSNNAG00000014254.1)". It matches the Rfam family "Small nucleolar RNA SNORD58". From Rfam's summary of the family: snoRNA U58 is found in introns 1, 3 and 6 of the ribosomal protein RPL17 gene in humans. U58 is a member of the C/D class of snoRNA which contain C (UGAUGA) and D (CUGA) box motifs. Lineage: Eukaryota; Metazoa; Chordata; Lepidosauria; Squamata; Elapidae. The record is from Rfam by way of RNAcentral.